This is a long non-coding RNA of Poecilia latipinna (sailfin molly), 1171 nucleotides long. RefSeq lists it as uncharacterized. The transcript has 2 exons. The record is from RefSeq and is a predicted model, not a curated record. Lineage: Eukaryota; Metazoa; Chordata; Actinopteri; Cyprinodontiformes; Poeciliidae.
AAAUUAAAAAAAAAAAAGACAGACAAAAAGAAAUUAAGUGAAAUCGAGGAGAUUUAAUAGAUGGAGCUGUAUUCUAUUUCUUCUAAUCUGCAUUGCAUGGGUCUUUACUUUUUUGGUGGUGGUAGUUGUGGGGAGGCGAGUAGGGUCACCAACUGUAUAUACUUUCAGUUGUGUGGAGUUACAGGUGGUAAGGUGGUAGAGUGGUAUGUGGCUUUCACGGUCAGUAUCGAUUCUAUAAAUAGCCAGGGUGGUCAGAAGAAUAGUGUGUUGUUAUUACUCACACAUGCACACAGAUGUUCUUUCCCCCCCCCCUCAAAAACCUGAACUCACCAAAAUAGUUCACUUAGAAAACUCAAGCAAAAGACAUCUGUUUCAAUAAUGGACCUAUUUUUUUCAAUGAUGUAGCGCCAACUUGAGCAUGUGGCAACCGUCAAGUCCAGUACAUUGCAGAUGAAUACCUAAUGGGGUAGUUAAAGCCACUGGAAGCUGAACAGGAUCGGAAAUUUAAGAAACCAGUGAGGAACUGUGCAAGCACGUAUAUUUAGUUAAAUGCUGGCUGAAUUUAGCUGGAAGUCAAUGCAAGUCUUUGCUUUAUAUGUGCACUAUAUUUGCAUUAAAUGAUGCUACUUCAUAAUAAAAACUUUCCUCAAAGCAGAACUUUUGACUGCUAUAUGUACCCCUCUGUUUCUCCCUCUCAUUUGUCUAUAAUGCACACUGGGGGAUGCGCCUCCCCAGCAUUUGUUUUCAAUCCCUCUGUAUUGGGUUAAGCUGCAUGAUCUCACAACAAAAAGACCAUUGUACCACAAUAAAGAGCUCUGCUCCGGGGAGCUGGUAGUAGGCCACAAACAAAGGGUUGUUACAUUGUCCCAGUGCUAGCUCAUGAAUCAACUCAUCGCUGGACUACCAACACAGUCAUGGAAAUUGUGCUCUGUGGAUUCUUGAAUUGGAACAUUUGGAUUUUUGAGGAAAGGAUUUCAAUGGGAGGGUGCAGGAAAUUGAUGACCAGAAAGCAGGAUGCACAGCUGGAGCUGGAAUAAAGAGAUCAGGUGCUCAUAAUGUUGCAGGACUCCCCACAGCUCGGCAUCAUUGUUCACAACCGCCUCCAAGGCCUCUGCAGUCACUGGGGCACAUCCUGACCCCGAAUCCGCGCCCGAAUGACCUCUUUCGGCCA